Long non-coding RNA from Melospiza melodia melodia, 2729 nucleotides. RefSeq lists it as uncharacterized. Lineage: Eukaryota; Metazoa; Chordata; Aves; Passeriformes; Passerellidae. The transcript is spliced from 3 exons. The record is from RefSeq and is a predicted model, not a curated record.
CUUUCCAAGUUCUCCGGCUGGAUUCCUCCUGGUGCCCCAGGCCGGGCGACACAGUUUGCAAAGACUCCUCUCUGUUGCUCUCACAUUUUAAAUUGCAGGCACUUCAGCCUGACCCCAAAUGCAGCAGAACUGUUCUGUCAGGAGUAAAGCAAUGGUCCAGAAAAUGCCACACGGAAGCAGCUGCAACAACAUCGGUGGUGGUGUCCCGGGAGGGAAGGACCAGUGUUUCAGCAGGAGGAUGGUGGGAGCCACGGCAGGACUGCCAGUGCUGCUGGAGGGGUGACAGCAGUGACUGAGAUUUGUUGAAGCCGUGUUGGUGUGUUUGGAGGAGCUGCUGGUGGUUAUCACCCUUCCAGGGACUUCCCAGUUUCCUUUUAAAGCUGCCUCAGCUUUGCAGGGAGCAUUCAUCUGGAGCUUUCCCUGAAGCUCAGUGUCCUGUUCCUGCACACAGCUGCUCAGGGAGCCCUGAGGGACAGGGGGUUUCCAUUGGAUUCUUUAUAGGCAGAGAAGAACAAGACAGAAAAUAUGACUCUUGUGGAAACACCCAAUGUUCAAAGACAACAGCUGCAUGCACACUGCUGCAAUGUACAGUAGGAGUUAGAUUUGACACUGUCAAAUGGUUUAUUCUGAGGAAAAUGAUUGUUCUGUGUAUCCAUAAAAAAUGUAAGGAGAAAGAUUUCCAAAUACAUUUCUGAGUAUCUCAUCAUUCCUCCGCUGGCGUGUCCCUCUGUGUGCACCUACGCGCUGCUUCCCGUUUAUGUGAUGGGGAUUUUCCAGAGGGAGGAAUUCACCACUGAAGUAUUUGGAUCCUGCAACUGCAGGUACAGCUUUGGAUUGAGAAGCUGGAGCAAGCCCAGAUGCUUCCAGCUGUCGUCGAUUCCUGCUCUCUGAAUCGCUUUGGAUGGCUACUGCAGCUCCUGCAGUUAACACAUCGCCCUCCUUGGUGUUUAGCAAAGGAAAAGGGCACAGACACUCCUCUGCUGGGCUUGCUUUGGAAGAUACAAAGGGUAGGAAAAGUUAUGUCUUGCAUGUUUAAAUAAUAAGGCCUAUAAAGCUUUUUGUGGCCUUAUAUAGAAAAAAAAGUGUUUUCUGGAGUGCUGGAAGUGCACAAAAUAGCUAUGGAGACAGACUGGACUCUGAAAUGGGUGGCCUUUUCUUCUGGAGGUCUUCCAGUGAUCUGUCUACUUCCUUUCUAAUCCCCUGUAAACUUGUAGCUGCAGUAGCAUUUUCAUAGCUCAGGAAGGCAUUUUCCUGUUCAUCCCCUCCAUCACUGGUGACUGUAGAACAAUUAUCAAAUCUCCACCAGUAUUCUCUGUUCUCAAGCUGAAUUGUACUUGUCUGUUUAACUGUCUUUAUUCCUGAUACAGGCUAGGAUCAUACACGUAGCAUUUCUUUGCUUGUUUUCCAUUCUCCUAUACAUUUUGAAGACUGGAAAAUCAGAUGUGUCCACAAGGUUUUGUACCUUGUGUCCAAGUGUUCAAGGUUUUACGCCUGGGACACACAGAGCACUAUGCUCACCUGAGUACCCGUGCUCUGCUCAGGGGGCUCACCCUGUGCUGCUGCUCAUGGAGCAAUCUGGCAGGUGCAGAAAGGUGUUUAACCCACCUUCUUCUCACAGUGCCCCUACGUGUCAGGGUCACUGGUGCAGAUCCUGCUCCAUGUUAAGCUCCACACUACAACCUAAAAAAAGAGAAGCAUCCCUCACAUAAAGAAAGAAGCAUCAUGAGGGAAAACACUGUGUCUUUGAGAAAAUUAUUUGAAACCUGAGUUUGUGUGGUCAGAUAAUUUCUAAAUUUUCUAAACAAACCACUAAACCACUCACUUCUAACUUCCCUGUGGAAAAUAAGUACUAGAACAAAUUGAAUUAAGAAAGUGAACUUGACAGUGUCAUAUUUUAUGUCUUUAUGUUUUCAUGUGUGCAUUUUUCUGUUGACCACAAACUAUUCAGUAAUUAAUCACUCAUUGUGACCUUAGUUGUCUUUUCCUGUAAGUUAACCUCUUUCAAGAAAGAGGCACAUUGGGCCUGCCUAUUUGUUUUAUUUUGGUGUUGGUGGUGUUUUUUGUUGUAGUUUUUGUUUGCUUGUUUGUUUUUUAAAUCUGUAGUGCAAUUUACAGUGUGAUGGUACAUUUUUAACAUCAUAUCUGUCCGUGUUAGGAGCCUGCCAUUUCCCAAAUGGAGGAAAUAGAGGCCUGUAGUGAAAGCUGUUAACUGUCUUUCCAUAUAAAAAUCAAAUGCAGUUAACCACAGCAGGGAAUCCAAGGCUGUGUGGAUGUUAACAUGCUUAAACAAUUUUCUGUCAUCCAGAGCUACUUACCAUGUCUUUCCUCCUAUGGCUGCCCAUGAAAACUGGAUCCAGCUUACAUGUCUUCCCAUAAUUCCUGCAAUUUAGAUAUAUUUAUUAUAUGUUUUAUUAUCUCAACUUUUAUGGCCAGCAACAAUCCAGACAAAAUUAUUCAUUCAAACACCAGAUCCUGUGAUAAAAUGUUGGAUCCUACUGAAGACUGUGUCCCUUGAGGCUAUAAGGUUUCCCAAGAUUGCAAAACAGAGGUGCUGUCUCUUCUCCAGUUCCCUUGUGACUUUGGAUGUACUCAUAAGAAUUCCCAACCCUUUUUUACUCAUUUUCCUAUAGAACAAAAAACUAAGAUUAAUAUAUUUAAGGGGGCUGUAAGUGACAUUUUGAUGGUAGAAAAGCUUUUACCUUUUUAUUAGUCCAGCAGGCCUUGCCUCU